This 267-nucleotide ribosomal RNA is filed under the name uncultured bacterium. RNAcentral's name for it is "partial 16S ribosomal RNA". It matches the Rfam family "Bacterial small subunit ribosomal RNA", at positions 793 to 1055 of the family's 1533-position model. The record is from RNAcentral.
GUCCACGCCGUAAACGAUGGAUGCUAGCCGUUGGCGAGCUUGCUCGUCAGUGGCGCAGCUAACGCUUUAAGCAUCCCGCCUGGGGAGUACGGUCGCAAGAUUAAAACUCAAAGGAAUUGACGGGGGCCCCGCACAAGCGGUGGAGCAUGUGGUUCAAUUCGAAGCAACGCGAAGAACCUUACCAGCCCUUGACAUCCCGGUCGCGGAGCGCAGAGACGCACUCCUUCAGUUCGGCUGGACCGGAGACAGGUGCUGCAUGGCUGUCGU